This 182-nucleotide ribosomal RNA is filed under the name uncultured bacterium. RNAcentral's name for it is "partial 16S ribosomal RNA". It matches the Rfam family "Bacterial small subunit ribosomal RNA", at positions 1319 to 1500 of the family's 1533-position model. The record is from RNAcentral.
CGUGAGGCUGGAUUCGCUAGUAAUCGCGCAUCAGCCAUGGCGCGGUGAAUACGUUCCCGGGCCUUGUACACACCGCCCGUCACACCAUGGGAGCCGGUAAUACCCGAAGUCAGUAGUCCAACCUCGUGAGGACGCUGCCGAAGGUAGGAUUGGCGACUGGGGUGAAGUCGUAACAAGGUACC